RNAcentral lists this ribosomal RNA (112 nucleotides) under Phenylobacterium deserti. The record is from RNAcentral. Lineage: Bacteria; Pseudomonadati; Pseudomonadota; Alphaproteobacteria; Caulobacterales; Caulobacteraceae.
GGUGGCUAUGCCGAGAGGUCCCCACCCGAUCCCAUCCCGAACUCGGUCGUUAAGCCUCUCCGGGCCAAUGGUACUUCGUCUUAAGGCGCGGGAGAGUAGGUCGCCGCCAGGU